UACGUAGGGCGCAAGCGUUGUCCGGAAUUAUUGGGCGUAAAGAGCUCGUAGGCGGUUUGUCGCGUCUGCUGUGAAAUCCCGAGGCUCAACCUCGGGUCUGCAGUCGAUACGGGCGGACUGGAGUUCGGCAGGGGGAGACUGGAAUUCCUGGUGUAGCGGUGAAAUGCGCAGAUAUCAGGAGGAACACCGGUGGCGAAGGCGGGGUCUCUGGGCCGAUACUGACGCUGAGGAGCGAAAGCAUGGGGGAGCGAACAGG
RNAcentral lists this ribosomal RNA (256 nucleotides) under uncultured bacterium. RNAcentral describes it as "partial 16S ribosomal RNA". It matches the Rfam family "Bacterial small subunit ribosomal RNA", at positions 524 to 776 of the family's 1533-position model. The record is from RNAcentral.